This is a long non-coding RNA of Triticum aestivum (bread wheat), 1219 nucleotides long. RefSeq lists it as uncharacterized. The transcript has 4 exons. The record is from RefSeq and is a predicted model, not a curated record. NCBI's taxonomy places the organism in Eukaryota, Viridiplantae, Streptophyta, Magnoliopsida, Poales, Poaceae.
AAUGAUUCACAAGAUGACGAGCGUGGCAAUCUCGGCGGGCUCGCUAAAGUCAGGGGAAGGAGAGAAACAAUGGGGAAGGGAGCAUAACAUGGAUGUGGGGCAGGAGGGGCCGUGGUCGGAGCGGCAUUGCGUGGGCAUAUUGGGUAUUAUUUGAGCUAAUACUCCAUUUUCUUACAAGAGAUGUGGUCCCGUCGAUGUUGGCUGUCGAAUUUGUGCUGCAGUCCAUGCCCACCACGUCCGAGUCUUCGCCCCUUCGCCAUCCAACACGAACAACAGAACAAAGUAGCAGUCGUGAUUUGCCAGGUUGGAGAACUAACGCAGAUUGCUGCCACGGAGUGCUCGCCCUUCUUCUGUGCCAUAAAGCCCCUCGGUCGAAACUUGCAAAUAAAAAUUGCCGACCCUGUCAAUCUCGCUGGAACGACGUCUAGCUCAUUGUGCUCUACUCACACUAACUGCAUAUCUCAUAACUAAAGCCAUGAACAAGUGCUUCAGUUAUGAUGGUGGCAAUACAUUGCUUGAGGUGACCUCAUGUGCAAGAUUAUCCCCAUGGAGGGAGCUGGCACGGAGACAUUUGCUCACAUCAGUACUAUGUAUGCAUUAUUUUUUACUUGAAGAUUAAAGGAUUAUAAGAACUGAGACCAUUGCAUGGAAAUCAGCUUAGCACCAUAAUAAUGUGGUGGUGUAUCAUGUAGUCCGGGCAGGAUCACCACUGAUUGACAUCUAUCCUUUUUAAUCUCCUAAAGCAAGAGUAUUUUGGUGGAGGACAAUUUAUGAAGGCAGGAUUAGCUAUGAUUAAUAAACCUGAAACUUCUUAGCAACUACUUCCUCUGUAAACUAAUAUAAGAUCAUGUAGAUGACUUCUUUAGUGUUAUAAAAGAUCUUAUAUUAGUUUAUAGAGGGAGUACUCAAUUAUUAUGUAACGCUAGAUUUUCUCCAACUACACAUGUGUUCUGUUUUUCACACUGGUGUACUGUUUUUCUUAUUCAUCCUUUCAAAUAAUUUAGUCUCUAAUGAUUUGGUAUAGCCAACGUGCAUACUACCCGGUGUAGGCAUCUAAUUUGUUUUAUUCUUUGUUCCAUGAUGAGAUGAUGGAUUGUAACAGGGUAGCCAUUUCCUUCUCUUUUUAACUCUUAGAAAACGAAAUGGUUUUGGUUAUAUGGUUUAUAUCGAUGUUUCAUUUGGACCAGGAUAAAAAGUACAUUCAGACUGCCCGUUGAAC